UAAGUUAAUUAAGUAGUAGCCUUUAAUUUAAAUAAAGGAGGAAAGUCCGGGCACUAAAGAGCAGGGUGUCAGGUAACACCUGAGAUUAAAUUACGAAUAGUGCAACAGAAAAUAAACCAUCUAUAAAUUUUAUAGAUUGGGUGAAAUUGUUUUUAACAUAUUACAUUAUAAAUUUGUAAUAUUGCAAACUCCACCUAGUGCAAAGUUAAAUAAAGAUUGUAUUGCUCAUACUAAAUCUGGGUUAACUGCUUGAACUAAUAAUUAAUUAUUAGUCUAGAUAAAUUACUACUUAUGACAGAACCCGGCUUAUAAAUUAACUUUUAAU
Molecule: RNase P RNA, 325 nt
Rfam family: Bacterial RNase P class A
About the family: Ribonuclease P (RNase P) is a ubiquitous endoribonuclease, found in archaea, bacteria and eukarya as well as chloroplasts and mitochondria. Its best characterised activity is the generation of mature 5'-ends of tRNAs by cleaving the 5'-leader elements of precursor-tRNAs. Cellular RNase Ps are ribonucleoproteins.